This 20-nucleotide ribosomal RNA is filed under the name Camellia sinensis. The record is from RNAcentral. Lineage: Eukaryota; Viridiplantae; Streptophyta; Magnoliopsida; Ericales; Theaceae.
UGCAACACGAGGACUUCCCA